RNAcentral lists this transfer-messenger RNA (346 nucleotides) under Erythrobacter litoralis HTCC2594. Its description in RNAcentral is "Alphaproteobacteria transfer-messenger RNA". It matches the Rfam family "Alphaproteobacteria transfer-messenger RNA". Rfam says of the family: Bacterial tmRNA, also known as 10Sa RNA or SsrA, is named for its dual tRNA and mRNA-like properties. Its role is to liberate the mRNA from a stalled ribosome. Lineage: Bacteria; Pseudomonadati; Pseudomonadota; Alphaproteobacteria; Sphingomonadales; Erythrobacteraceae. The record is from Rfam by way of RNAcentral.
UCACUUCACAUUAAGGCGUUUUCGCUUAUAUGGGACCUGUCCGUUUCGGCGGGCUAUGGUGAUAAACUGCGGUGUGUAAUAGACGCAACGGACCCGGGGGCAGUACCCGGCGGCUCCACCAAAAAGCGCAUAUUUACAGGCGCUUCCUGAUGGGGCCGAACCAGGAUCGACGUGUGUUGAAAGGCAUUGUUUUCACCCGGGCUGAGUAUCCCGCAAAACUGUUCAAAACACACAAGUGCCAACGAUAACGAAGCACUCGCUCUCGCAGCGUAACAUGACGGCCUAACGGCCUAACGUUACAAAGCUAAAGCGCGGUUGGACCCACCGGGCAACAGAAGCGGAUUCC